Long non-coding RNA from Cavia porcellus (domestic guinea pig), 1033 nucleotides. RefSeq lists it as uncharacterized. The record is from RefSeq and is a predicted model, not a curated record. NCBI's taxonomy places the organism in Eukaryota, Metazoa, Chordata, Mammalia, Rodentia, Caviidae. The transcript has 3 exons.
GUCUGCCUGGUCCUAUUUUUAAAUCAGGAAGUUCAGGGAGACAUCCUUCAAGGAAACUGCUUUGCUUUGAAAUUCAGGGGGUGAAAACCCAAACAAACCAAACAAGAAAUAUUACAUUUUUAAAGAAACCACUUAUGGAAGCUGAGAUGGCCCUGAGACCGACCGGUAGCUUGGAGAGUUUCUCAGAAGGGCCCUGUUUGGGUUUGGGGCGGGGCAUUCCUUCUGCCUGGCAUCCCCGGAGGCACACAAAGCCCUGCCCGCUAAUCCCCAGCCACGUUCCCGUCACGGUGACACCCCCGCCUUCCCAGCUCUGCCCGCCACCCUCCCUGUGCCGGCUGCUGCCUCGGAUGCUGGGUGACUCGGCCUGGUGGGUUGGCCGCCCUGCACACCUGAGGGGCAGGUGCCCGAGGCCUCGUUUUACAGAGAGGCUGGCUGAGGUGGCCAGGUCACCCAGGCAGGGCUCCUCGACGCCUCACAGCCCCCUGGGGACAAGCAGGGACAGGGGCUUUCUGUCUCACGGCCUGCAGCCCCAGCUCCCAGGAGGCCAGUGUGGGCCAGGACAGGAGGACGGCAGCCCCGCGCAGCGCCCAGACUGGGCCGGUGGCCACACUGCCUUGGGGACCGGGAAGUAUGCUCCCUCCGCCCGCCGGCUCACAGCGUCCUGUGGCUGCCUGCCAGGCCCCGCCUGACGUCAGGGUCUGACCAGGGACAUAAUGUGCUGGCAUGGGGACAAGGGCUGACUGCAGAGAGACAGAGGAUCACCCCAUGGGGCCCUGCUUCUCAGCCGGCGAUGCAGCUCCAUACCCCACUCUGCACAGGAUGCCCCACCGUAGAGAGGAGCUGGCCCCAAAUGUCCAUGCGCCAAGGGAUCGAACUCACGACUGCCUGCUUGCAAGGCAGGUGCUUAUGCCACUGAGCUAAAUCCCCAGCCCUCUCUGGACUAUAUCUUAAAACACGAAGACCAAGCCUGGAUGCGAGCUGACAUUUAUACCAGAUCAGAAUGCUUUAGGCAUACAAAUGUAGUCAUAAUAAA